UCGAAAACAUUACUUAUCCCUCUGGGUAAAAUAAACUCCUAAUUAACAGAGGCGAGAGAACUCUAUGAAAACAACUCAACUCAUAACCUAACUCAGAUAAAACUAAUAACCAUCCACAGCUUCACGCUGAGUCUUCGAACCUGUGUCAUUGAAAGGGUUGAAGAUUUUGGGGUGAGAACAAACCAUAUGUUCUCAGUAGGGAAUGAAAAUGCCAUAAAAGUAAUGAAUUUAAUGCAAAUAAUUAACUUACUUAGUAAAACUAUUUUGUUAAACUUUUGGAAAUACUUUUAUUUCUACUUCAGAUAAAUAAUUACUUUUCUUUAAAUUUCUAAAUUCAAACAGAUUUUAAUCACAAAAUUAGUCAUACUAAUCAUCUCUCAACCACAUAAUCAUAUUUCAACCACAUCUCACCUCAAUACAUCCGUGAACUAACAACACAAGUAAGGGAUUCAAACCAACAUACAAACAAGUCACACAGCAUAAUCACAAAGAAGUAAUACAAGCAAACUCAACCAAAUACAAAUGUGCAAACAACAUGAUGCAUGUCUAUUCCUAAUGCAGGCCAUGAGCUCAUGUGUCGGUUGCCUACCCGCUCCCGACAUUACCCGGGCACAAGUCCUAGAUAUGGCUUUCCAGAUGCAUACAAUGUGCUUAUAAGUCGUACGGCUAGGUCGCAUAUAGUGUGACUUUAAGUCGUACGGCUAGGCCGCAUACAGUGUGACUUUUCAAAUCAAUAAGCGUACAUCUGGAAAACAGUUCUCAGUGUGUGGGCGUCCCCACUUUACAUUUGGCACUAAGGCCCAAACAAUAUUACAUCUGCUCUCCUGUGGCAGUUAUUUCAUUAAUUCAUACAUUUAUUUAAUCUUUGUUCUCUGCUCUCUUGUAGCAGAGAUCCCUUUAAUUAUCUUUCUUUCCUUUACUUUUCGUUCUUCCUCUUCUUUUCUUUUGUAUCAAACCGAAUUCAAAACAUAACUUAAAGCAAAAUCACUUCUCAAAAGAUUGAGUUUAAAACAUCAUACUUUUCUUAAUAAAUCGGUUUGAAAACAAAACUCUUUUCGUAAUAAAUUGAAAUCAAGUAAUAUUCUUAAAUUAAAUUUAUUUUUAAAUAACACUUUAAAUAAAGUCUUAGAGUUUUAUAAAAAUUUGGCAGCAAUUCCUUUAAAAUUCGGGUUUUGCCACCCUUCAAGGAUCUCAACCUAACCACCUUUCAAACCCUUUUUAAAACAUUUUCAAGUAACAAAUCAUUUUCAAUAUUCACACCGUUCAAAAUAUCAAAUAGAAUCAAAUCAUUUUCUUUAAAGCUAAGCCUAUUUCUAUUUCAAUAAAAUUAGCCCGUUUCGAAUCUUAUGCUUUUGAAAUUAAAGGAAAUUCAUUUCUUCAUUCAAACUUUACAAAUUCCUCCAACCAUACUCAUUUAACAUUUAAUAUUAACCAAAAUCACAUUCUUGCGUAUUUUUACCAGCCCUUCAUCAGCACCUAUUCAUCGUCAUGCUAAUACCAAAAUCCCACUUCCAUAACCAUAAAUUCCAGCAUCAAACACAGCCUCAAUUCAAAUCCAAUUCAUAAACUCGAAUCACAUUUCAAUUUAACAAGCAACACCAAAUUGACCAACACUCACAAUUACAACCAAUUCUCAUCAAUUAGACACACAAAAUACGUGUAAAUUAUUUGCAAUUACUCAACAAGCUUUUGGCAUUCUUAAAUUAAAAACUUGUAAUUUUAAAAACGAAACUCCCUACCUUCGUAUGAAAUCAAAUCAACGAAAGCUCUGGAAAAACUUUCUGAUCGAGCUGCUGGAGAGAAAAGCGUCAGAAAUCAUCUGUGUCUCCUAGAGCUCCAGUUGGCCGAACUCAAGAGGCAGGAAAGCUACGUCACCGUCAAUUUCUACCGGACAAAAAUAAUACUGACAUAUAAAAGAGGAAAAUACAAAUACUUUUAUCGGAUUAAAUUUUUUAUUGGAAUUACAGAUCUUAAGAAAUCAAAAUCGAAAAAUCAAAGAGAGUCAUGGUUUCUUCCCUCACCCACGGUCUCUCUCUCGGCCUUUCUUUCUUCUCCCUGUCC
Molecule: long non-coding RNA, 2061 nt
Filed under: Arachis ipaensis
Lineage: Eukaryota; Viridiplantae; Streptophyta; Magnoliopsida; Fabales; Fabaceae
Description: long non-coding RNA (AIPA_LNC002568)
Source: RNAcentral